This 728-nucleotide ribosomal RNA is filed under the name uncultured Pseudomonas sp. Its description in RNAcentral is "bacterial SSU rRNA". It matches the Rfam family "Bacterial small subunit ribosomal RNA", at positions 54 to 779 of the family's 1533-position model. The record is from RNAcentral. Lineage: Bacteria; Pseudomonadati; Pseudomonadota; Gammaproteobacteria; Pseudomonadales; Pseudomonadaceae.
CAUGCAGUCCAGCGGAUGAGAAGAGCUUGCUCUUCGAUUCAGCGGCGGACGGGUGAGUAAUGCCUAGGAAUCUGCCUGGUAGUGGGGGACAACGUUUCGAAAGGAACGCUAAUACCGCAUACGUCCUACGGGAGAAAGCAGGGGACCUUCGGGCCUUGCGCUAUCAGAUGAGCCUAGGUCGGAUUAGCUAGUUGGUGAGGUAAUGGCUCACCAAGGCGACGAUCCGUAACUGGUCUGAGAGGAUGAUCAGUCGCACUGGAACUGAGACACGGUCGAGACUCCUACAGGAGGCGACAAUGGGGAAUAUUGGACAAUGGGCGAAAACCUGAUCCGGCCAUGCCACGUGUGUGAAAAGGUCUUCGGAUUGUAAAGCACUUUAAGUUGGGAGGAAGGGCAUUAACCUAAUACGUUAGUGUUUUGACGUUACCGACAGAAUAAGCACCGGCUAACUCUGUGCCAGCAGCCGCGGUAAUACAGAGGGUGCAAGUGUUAAUCGGAAUUACUGGGCGUAAAGCGCGCGUAGGUGGUUUGUUAAGUUGGAUGUGAAAGCCCCGGGCUCAACCUGGGAACUGCAUCCAAAACUGGCAAGCUAGAGUACGGUAGAGGGUGGUGGAAUUUCCUGUGUAGCGGUGAAAUGCGUAGAUAUAGGAAGGAACACCAGUGGCGAAGGCGACCACCUGGACUGAUACUGACACUGAGGUGCGAAAGCGUGGGGAGCAAACAGGAUU